CUUCGCUUCGGAACAUCCUGAAAUACUCUGUUCAGGUUCUGGCCUGGGUUCUCUGUUGGAAAACAAGUGGCGGAAGAUAGAAAUAAAUACAGGCAUGCAGAGAGUCACUCUUACCGUUUCCGCUGUUUUCUCGAUCUGAUUGGAUGGUUGCAGUGUCUUGCCAGCUGAAGUGAGCUGCUCCCUCAGACUCACAGCAUCCCUCUCUGCUGCCUCGGCCCUCUGUGGGCCACAAACACAACAAAUGGGUGAAAAAUUGCCAUGGUUGAGGAUUCAUAACCAUUAUAUCAACUGACGUUUAUGACUUGUGAAGACUGGGAGCUAAAAGAUCACAGGCCUGGUUUUAUAUGAAAAAUGUUGAACUGAACUCACACUUGGCUGAGUGCUCUAGUAUUCAAGCUAAAGUGUGUCAAAGUAUGUACGGUUGGUUGAUUCACACAAUAUGCAAAUCACUCUGAAUUUAUUUUAAAUAAAGAUUGUGGUGUUAAUUCAUUUGUUGCCCUAGAAUGGAUCCCUGACCUAAAGACAAAGGUCUGGAUUCAUGAUGAGACUUAUAAAAUAUAUAUAUAGUGUAAAAGCUGCUUAAAGCGUUCAACCUUUAGCUGCACCAAAUCCAACACCACCAUCUUUAUGCAUUUAUGGUAAUGACAAGCUAAAUUAUGCAAAUGUAUUCUAAACGUCUACGUAACAAGUCUUACCAAAUGUUCUUUUUUUCUGUUGAUUGGAAUAAUAAUGCUAAUGAAAACAAUGAUUAUAAA
Molecule: non-coding RNA, 755 nt
Organism: Pimephales promelas (fathead minnow)
Lineage: Eukaryota; Metazoa; Chordata; Actinopteri; Cypriniformes; Leuciscidae
Source: RefSeq, a predicted model, not a curated record